AAACCAAAGGAAACAAUAAGUAUGGUGGCCCUGGGAUGCAAAACACAACACAAAAAGAGAAAACACAUGGCAAAUCAGAGAACACAGCGACAUUAUGUGUUAUCUCUUUUUGCGUUGUGUUUUUCACCUCAGUGCCACCGUACUUGUUGUUUCUUUGGUG
Molecule: non-coding RNA, 160 nt
Organism: Xyrichtys novacula (pearly razorfish)
Lineage: Eukaryota; Metazoa; Chordata; Actinopteri; Labriformes; Labridae
Source: the annotation of a GenBank genome assembly